RNAcentral lists this ribosomal RNA (443 nucleotides) under uncultured bacterium. Its description in RNAcentral is "bacterial SSU rRNA". It matches the Rfam family "Bacterial small subunit ribosomal RNA", at positions 29 to 507 of the family's 1533-position model. The record is from RNAcentral.
AACGAACGCUGGCGGCAGGCUUAACACAUGCAAGUCGAACGCGAAAUCACCUUCGGGUGGUGGAGAGUGGCAGACGGGUGAGUAACGCGUGGGAAUCUACCUGAUGGUACGGAAUAACUCAGGGAAACUUGAGCUAAUACCGUAUGUGCCCGAGAGGGGAAAGAUUUAUCGCCAUCAGAUGAGCCCGCGUCGGAUUAGGCUAGUUGGUGGGGUAAAAGCCCACCAAGGCGACGAUCCGUAGCUGGUCUGAGAGGAUGAUCAGCCACACUGGGACUGAGACACGGCCCAGACUCCUACGGGAGGCAGCAGUGGGGAAUAUUGGACAAUGGGCGCAAGCCUGAUCCAGCCAUGCCGCGUGAGUGAUGAAGGCCCUAGGGUUGUAAAGCUCUUUCGACGGGGACGAUAAUGACGGUACCCGUAGAAGAAGCCCCGGCUAACUCGUG